ACAAGCUAACCAACCUGGUCAAAGAGCUAGGAUGCCACACCUUCAAAGGGGGCCUAUCUUCUUGAGGAAGUGCUGCUCUGAGAGCUGGGCUGUGGUAUAAAAGUCAUGUCAGGGAGGACAUUUUUUAUUUGAUAGGAAAAUUUAAAAUGCUAAAGGAAAAAUUUUCUUAGCAAUUUCACAGGAAAACCUGUUUUAAGAGAGGGUAUCAUUCUAACUGGGAACUGAACUAUUAUGACUAGGUCUAUAAUUUAAUAACAAGUCACAAUAUUUCUCUUUCUUGACAUCAAUUUAAGAGUGACUUUUCACAUAGUAGAGAGAAUGGCUUCAGUUAUACCUGCCUCCAAUAGUUCCAUGAGAUCUGACAGGAAUACAUAUGUUGGAAAAAGGUUUGUUCACGUUAAAAAUCCUUACUUGGAUUUGAUGGAUGAAGACAUUCUCUAUCACUUGGAUUUGGGAACAAAAACACACAACCUACCAGCAAUGUUUGGAGAUGUAAAGUUUGUCUGUGUCGGUGGGAGCCCCAACAGAAUGAAAGCAUUUGCACUGUUUAUGCACAAGGAGCUCGGGUUGGAGGAAGCUGAAGAAGACAUAAAAGACAUCUGUGCUGGGACAGACAGAUACUGUAUGUACAAAACCGGGCCUGUGCUCGCCAUCAGUCACGGCAUGGGCAUCCCCUCCAUUUCUAUUAUGCUUCAUGAACUCAUCAAAUUACUCCACCAUGCACGGUGCUGCGAUGUCACCAUUAUUAGAAUCGGUACAUCAGGGGGAAUAGGGAUUGCACCAGGGACUGUUGUAAUAACGGAUAUAGCUGUAGACUCCUUCUUUAAGCCCCGGUUUGAACAGGUCAUUUUGGACAACAUCGUCACCCGAAGUACUGAACUGGACAAGGAACUGUCUGAAGAACUGUUCAACUGUAGCAAAGAAAUCCCCAACUUCCCAACCCUCAUUGGACAUACAAUGUGUACCUAUGAUUUUUAUGAAGGCCAAGGCCGACUAGAUGGAGCACUGUGUUCCCUUUCCAGAGAAAAAAAGUUAGACUACUUAAAGAGAGCAUAUAAAGCUGGUGUCAGGAAUAUUGAAAUGGAAUCUACAGUGUUUGCAGCUAUGUGUGGACUCUGUGGUCUAAAAGCUGCUGUGGUCUGUGUGACACUUCUCGACAGACUCGACUGUGAUCAGAUCAACUUGCCUCAUGAUGUCCUGGUGGAGUACCAGCAACGGCCUCAGCUCCUAAUCUCCAACUUCAUCAGACGGCGGCUUGGACUUUGUGACUAGACGUCCUAACUGGGCAGCCCAACCCUCCCCUGCAAGGAGAAGGAGAGGCUAUGAGAGGGAGAAGAAUGAAAUAAUUACAGUUAAUCUUCUCUUCAACUCCUGCAAGGAGUGUGUGUGCACAGAUAAAGAUCACUAAGAAGAAACACCUGGAUGUAGAUGACCAAUACUUGAUCGGCUACAUUUCACAAUUUCCAAGGUGGUGGUGGGUGGUCGGGGGAGAUGGAUUAAAGAUAAGAUGAGGCCUCCAAAGACACUAUUUGCUUGUUAGUCAGUUCCCUUACUUGUGAAGGUCAGUGGCUUCAAAUUUUUACCUAAAAAGUCAAGCCGCUUACAUAUUUCAGAAUAAAAAUUGCCUUUUCACGUGAAAGAUCAUGUGCUUCCAAAGUCUUCUUAUGUUAAAAGGCUAAGGAGAGUUCAAAUAUGACACAGCCUGAAUAGAGGCUGUGGGAGACAGUGGUGUUGAAAUGACUGAUGAGUGAGAGAUGUCAGUGAUGAUCUGAGCAUCUAUGCAGAUAAAACCUUUUACGGUUUUGUGGCUAAUAAAAAAUUAGUUUUUCCAAAAAAAAUGUAUAAAAUUUAAUUCAUUAAAAAGUAAAGUCUCAGUGAAAUUCUGAUACAUGCUACAACAUGGAUAAACCUCAGGAUAUUAUGCUAAAUGAAAUACUACACACAUACAGAUAAAUAUUGUACGAUUUCACUUAUAUGAGGUACUUAGAGUAGACAAAUUCACAGAGAAAGAAAGUAGGAUACUGGUUACCAGGGGCUGAGAAAAAGAGGAAGUGGGAUUCAUUGUUUUAUGAGCACAGAGUUUCAGUUUGGGAUGAUGAAAAAGUUCUGAAGGUGGAUAAUGGUGAUAGUUGCACAAUAACGUGAAUGUAUUUAAUGCUACUGAACUGUACAUGCAAAAGUGUUAAAAUGAUAAAUGUUAUGUAAGUUUCACUAUCACAAAAAUGUAAAGGCUCAGUGAGGUCUAUUUUGUGGUUUUUAUAAUAACACAUUCUAAUUUGCUAAUUUUAUUAAUUUACUCAUUGCUGAUACUCAUGACUGCUGGUUGGCAUUUCUACGUGGGCUUCUCUGAUCUACAGGAGUUAAGUGGCUCUAAGAAGGUUCUGUGGUGAGUGAUGAGUCACUCAGCAAAGGAGUUGAGUAUGGUAAUGGCUACCAGCAGGGAGACCGUGUAGCCCCAUGUUCUUAUCUCCAAUAUAAGACUGUAUCUGCCAAGAAGUCCUAAAUCUUUGAAUCCGGCAGUUCAGGCAUUCUUGCUCAAGACAGCAUAGCUGACUGAAGUUAUUUUUAAAGCACAGUUUAUCAGACUCAGGAAUGCAGUGAGAAGAUAUGACUGACACAUCAAUAGCUAUCAGAAAGAAUGAUUAAAUCUAAAAUACUAGAGAGAAGAGAAGAAGGUAGACACACCAGGGAGUAUUUCUACAGGAUCAAAGGCUGUGAAUUUAAAAUGGAAUUUUCCUGCAUCAAUCCAAUAGGCAUUACCCUGGGUAUAAAUACUCUGGUGUCUCAAUAACGGAAGAACAACUAAUAAGUUAAUUUAUCUUUUCAGGUUGUCAUAGCAUACAUGGGACUCUGUGGGGUCAAAAUAUGUUGCUAGAGAAAGACAGAAAUUAUCAUGAAGUGAAGGGAAAUAAUAAGAAAAAAAUGAAAGGAAAUAUUGAGAGGGAAGGGAGACUAGUAAGCAAGGAGAACAGUUGUGGAAGGAUAUUAUAAGAAGAAGUUUACUGGGGGUUCUGCAAGAGGGAGAGCUAUUAUACCCCAAGGCAUUGCAAACAUCUACAAAGGCUGCAUGAAGUAUUUUGGGAAGAGAAUCAAAACAUGCUAGAAAAAAAGAGAAAACUUAAAGCCAGGGUUGUGACCUGGGCUUACAGCUGAUACCAAACAUGAAGGCUAAGGUUUAAAGCUCAUGUAGACAUGAGGCCUCAUGUCAGGUGAGGUGGAUAUUGGAACUAAUACCCAGCUGAAGAAAUCCUCCCACCUACACAGGAGAUUCUAGUGAAUCUAGUUUGUCUCUGUUUAACAAGCAACAGGAAAAAAAUACAAUUCCCUAAGAAAGUCAAACUCCAUGCCUGAGUCUGGCUUGGAAUUUGAAUUUAUUUCAGGAACUCCCAUUUUAAAAGAUAUACAGAAAAUUGGGUCAUGGAACAGAGACACCCCUGGUGCUCCUAGCAUAAUAAAUGCAAAACCACAUGGGGAAGCAGACACACCCAGGUGACACAUGAUUCUCACAAAAUAGCCAGCCUCGUUGAAGAUAAGCUCAUGAUAGAAAGUCACAGAAUAAGCAAGUAACAAUAUUUGUGUGAGGCACAGUCAACAGGAGGAUUAGACCCAAGAAUGUGACUAGAAUUGGGCCUUAAAGAAAGCAACUGUCAUAUAAUAGCUUUAAAAUCAUCAAAGCUAUACCAGAAGUAACUAAAACACAAGAAUAAAAAAUGUGAAAAGACAUGUGAGGAUCAUGGCGGACGCGAGGCAAGACUAGAUUGCAGCUCCGACUGGGACAGACAGAGGUGUGUGGAGGCUCGCAUCGUGAAUUUUUGCUCCACAACGACUGCAGGAAUAAAUCAGAAAACUUCCGAGGACCCACAACCCCCCUGAAGAAAGCAGAUUGCUCCUGCAGGGCCGGGGAGACAACCCAAAUACUCUGCGUGCCCAAACUGGAAGUAGGAAAGGGAGAUUGUCUGCCCCCAAACACACCUCCCCACUGGAGAAACUGAAGGCCUAGAUUAUGGGAGAAGAUUUUGACCUUACCUGGAGCUGAGUAAAUUUAGAAAGCCAGUGAAAUACAGGGGUAGAGGAAGCAGUGGGAAAAGCCGUGGGAGCUCGCUGGGUCCCCUGGCAAGCUGUUUUUGCCUGGACUCACAGGGGCGCUUUGGGAGGAUGGCCAAAGGUGCUGGGAAAAGGCCACAGGGAGAAGGAAAUCUCCAGCUGAAUUUUGUAACAAUUUGAACUGACGGAGAAGUCUCCUGGCCAGAACUUGGGGCAGCGCGUCAAUCUAUCUGGUGUGCUGACUCCACAGGUGGGGGAACAAGGAAAGCCAUAGUUGCUUUUGCAGCUGGGAGGCAGGUAGCUUGGGGCAAGUUCUCAGCUCACGUAGCUGAAGACAAAAGGCCUAUACUCUUGGGAGUUCUGAGGCCCCGCCCACCACCUGUUACUCCUAUCUUAUCACAGCUGAUGCUCUCUGGAAAGCACCACCUCCUGGCCAGAGGCCAACCAGCGCAAAACCCGUGCAUUAAACCACCGAAGCUAAGAACCCCCCAGAGUCCAUUUCACCCCUCUGCCACCUCCACUGGAACAGGUUGUUAGAUAUGAGUUCUAAAUUUCUUUUCAAAGAAUCAAUAUGUCAGUAUGUUCAAUUCUUUACCGUCUACUUUUAAACUUAACUUUCUCAUAAAGCAACCUUUUUUGAUUACCUGCUCCACCCUGACUCAUUUCAGUUACCUGUUCCACCCUGACUCAUUCCUAUUACCUACUCCACCCUGACUCAUUCUGAUUACCUGCUGUGUCAUAACCAUUUUUCCCGCCAAACCACUCACCCCCGUCACUCUCUUUAAAUUAGCCAGUCGGAAUUAGUUUAGCUUGUGUGGUCUAACUCUAGCCAAGAGGGGAAGGACACAGCAGCAGGGGCCACGCGCGUCAGGGAUAAGAACCCCUUCCCCUCCCUUGUCCAAGUGUGUACUCACCAUUGCUUCAUCUGUAAGGGUGCACACUUCUAUAGAAGUACCUUGCCUUGCUGAGAAUUAAAAAGAAAAUUUUAUAUUCAAGUGCUAUUUCUUUUGCAGCACCAAAACUUUAUAUAUAACAAGGUGCUGGUAUCCAUGGCUGAGAGACCCAGGUGGUUCACAUCAUAGGACUCAGCAGACAACCCCCAGUACCAGCCAGGAGCCUGGUAGACUCACUAGGCGGCUAGAUCCAAAAGACAGAUAACAAUCACUACAGCUUGGCUCUCAGGAAGCCACAUCCAUAGGAAAAGGGGGAAAGUACUACAUCAAGGCAACACCCCGUGGGAAAAAAGAAUCUGAACAACAGCCUUCAGCCCUAGGCCUUCCCUCUGACAGAGCCUACAAUAGAUGUAUAGUAGUAUUCAUAUAUAUGUAUGAAUACUACUCAGCCUUAAAAAGGAAUGAAUUAAUAGCAUUCGCAGCAACUUGGAUGGGACUGGAGACUAUUAUUUUAAGUGAAGUAACUCAGGAAUGGAAAACCAAACACCAUAUGUUCUCACUCAUAAGUGGGAGGUGAGCUAUGAGGAUGCAAAGGCAUAAGAAUGACACAAUGGACUUUGGGGACUCAGAGGGAAAGGGUGGGAAGUGGGUGAGGGAUAAAAGACUACAAAUAGAGUGCAGUGUAUACUGCUCGGGUGAUGAGUGGACCAAAAUCUCACAGAUCACCACUAAAUAACUUACUGAUGUAACCAAACACCUCCUGUUCCCCCAAUAACCUAUGGAAAUAAAAAAAUUAA
Pan troglodytes (chimpanzee) is the source of this 5734-nucleotide RNA transcript. It is a transcript of the gene named uridine phosphorylase 2, with no coding region annotated. Lineage: Eukaryota; Metazoa; Chordata; Mammalia; Primates; Hominidae. The transcript has 9 exons. The record is from RefSeq and is a predicted model, not a curated record.